CAAUAAGCGGAGGAAAAGAAACUAACAAGGAUUCCCCUAGUAACUGCGAGUGAAGAGGGAAAAGCUCAAAUUUAAAAUCUGGCGGUUUCACCGUCCGAGUUGUAAUUUAGAGAAGUGCUACCCGUGCUGGACCGUGUACAAGUCUCUUGGAAUGGAGCGUCGUGGAGGGUGAGAAUCCCGUACAUGACACGGACUCCCAGGACAUUGUGGUGCGCUCUCGAAGAGUCGAGUUGUUUGGGAAUGCAGCUCAAAAUGGGUGGUAAAUUCCAUCUAAAGCUAAAUAUUGGGGAGAGACCGAUAGCGAACAAGUACCGUGAGGGAAAGAUGAAAAGAACUUUGGAAAGAGAGUUAAACAGUACGUGAAAUUGCUGAAAGGGAAACGCUUGAAGUCAGUCGCGUUGUGCGGGAUUCAACCUUGCUUUUGCUUGGUGUACUUCCUGUAUAACGGGUCAGCAUCAGUUUUGACCGGUGGAUAAGGGUGUAGGGAAUGUGGCAUCUUCGGAUGUGUUAUAGCCUUGCAUCGCAUACAUCGGUUGGGACUGAGGAACUCAGCACGCCGCAAGGCCGGGUUUUUACCACGUUCGUGCUUAGGAUGCUGGCAUAAUGGCUUUAAUCGACCCGUCUUGAAACACGGACCAAGGAGUCUAACAUGCCUGCGAGU
This 661-nucleotide ribosomal RNA is filed under the name Mycena longinqua. Its description in RNAcentral is "Mycena sp. AC-2018c partial large subunit ribosomal RNA". It matches the Rfam family "Eukaryotic large subunit ribosomal RNA", at positions 44 to 691 of the family's 3401-position model. The record is from RNAcentral. Lineage: Eukaryota; Fungi; Basidiomycota; Agaricomycetes; Agaricales; Mycenaceae.